ACGAACGCUGGCGGCGUGCCUAAUACAUGCCAGUUGAGCGCUGAAGGUUGGUACUUGUACCAACUGGAUGAGCAGCGAACGGGUGAGUAACGCGUGGGGAAUCUGCCUUUGAGCGGGGGACAACAUUUGGAAACGAAUGCUAAUACCGCAUAAAAACUUUAAACACAAGUUUUAAGUUUGAAAGAUGCAAUUGCAUCACUCAAAGAUGAUCCCGCGUUGUAUUAGCUAGUUGGUGAGGUAAAGGCUCACCAAGGCGAUGAUACAUAGCCGACCUGAGAGGGUGAUCGGCCACAUUGGGACUGAGACACGGCCCAAACUCCUACGGGAGGCAGCAGUAGGGAAUCUUCGGCAAUGGACGAAAGUCUGACCGAGCAACGCCGCGUGAGUGAAGAAGGUUUUCGGAUCGUAAAACUCGGUUGGUAGAGAAGAACGUUGGUGAGAGUGGAAAGCUCAUCAAGUGACGGUAACUACCCAGAAAGGGACGGCUAACUACGUG
This 496-nucleotide ribosomal RNA is filed under the name uncultured bacterium. RNAcentral's name for it is "partial 16S ribosomal RNA". It matches the Rfam family "Bacterial small subunit ribosomal RNA", at positions 29 to 507 of the family's 1533-position model. The record is from RNAcentral.